Molecule: transfer RNA, 78 nt
Filed under: Nitrososphaerota archaeon
Lineage: Archaea; Thermoproteati; Nitrososphaerota
Description: tRNA-Arg
Rfam family: tRNA
About the family: Transfer RNA (tRNA) molecules are approximately 80 nucleotides in length. Their secondary structure includes four short double-helical elements and three loops (D, anti-codon, and T loops). Further hydrogen bonds mediate the characteristic L-shaped molecular structure. tRNAs have two regions of fundamental functional importance: the anti-codon, which is responsible for specific mRNA codon recognition, and the 3' end, to which the tRNAs corresponding amino acid is attached (by aminoacyl-tRNA synthetases). tRNAs cope with the degeneracy of the genetic code in two manners: having more than one tRNA (with a specific anti-codon) for a particular amino acid; and 'wobble' base-pairing, i.e. permitting non-standard base-pairing at the 3rd anti-codon position.
Source: RNAcentral
GGGCCCGUAGCUCAGUACGGACAGAGCGAACGCCUCCUAAGCGUUAGGUCGAGGGUUCAAAUCCCACCGGGCCCGCCA